RNAcentral lists this ribosomal RNA (386 nucleotides) under uncultured prokaryote. RNAcentral's name for it is "bacterial SSU rRNA". It matches the Rfam family "Archaeal small subunit ribosomal RNA", at positions 339 to 725 of the family's 1478-position model. The record is from RNAcentral.
GCGCGAAAACUUUACAAUGCUGGCAACAGCGAUAAGGGAACCUCGAGUGCCAGGUUACAAAUCUGGCUGUCGAGAUGCCUAAAAAGCAUUUCAUAGCAAGGGCCGGGCAAGACCGGUGCCAGCCGCCGCGGUAACACCGGCGGCUCGAGUGGUAACCGUUAUUAUUGGGUCUAAAGGGUCUGUAGCCGGCCGGAUAAGUCUCUUGAGAAAUCUGGCAGCUUAACUGUCAGGCUUUCAGGGGAUACUGUCUGGCUCGAGGCCGGGAGAGGUGAGAGGUACUUCAGGGGUAGGGGUGAAAUCUUGUAAUCCUUGAAGGACCACCAGUGGCGAAGGCGUCUCACCAGAACGGACCUGACGGCAAGGGACGAAAGCUAGGGGCAGGAACC